CCCAAUCCUGACACAGGGAGGUAGUGACAAUAAAUAACAAUACAGGGCUCUUCGAGUCUUGUAAUUGGAAUGAGUACAAUUUAAAUCCCUUAACGAGGAACAAUUGGAGGGCAAGUCUGGUGCCAGCAGCCGCGGUAAUUCCAGCUCCAAUAGCGUAUAUUAAAGUUGUUGCAGUUAAAAAGCUCGUAGUUGAACUUCAGGCUAGGUUGGUCGGUCCACCUAACAGUGAGUACUGACUGGCCUGGUCUUCCUUCUGGCUACUUAGGCUGCUUUUAAUCGGGUGGCCUAAUGUACCAGGACUUUUACUUUGAAAAAAUUAGAGUGUUCAAAGCAGGCCUACGCUUGAAUACAUUAGCAUGGAAUAAUAGAAUAGGAUCUUGGUUCUAUUUUGUUGGUUUCUAGGACUAAGGUAAUGAUUAAUAGGGACGGUUGGGGGCAUUAGUAUUUCAGUGUCAGAGGUGAAAUUCUUGGAUUUCUGAAAGACUAACUACUGCGAAAGCAUCUGCCAAGGAUGUUUUCAUUAAUCAAGAACGAAAGUUAGGGGAUCGAAGACGAUUAGAUACCGUCGUAGUCUUAACCAUAAACUAUGCCGACUCAAGAUCAGCCGGAUAUUUUUUUAGUACCGGCUGGGCACUGUAUGAGAAAUCAAAGUUUUUUG
RNAcentral lists this ribosomal RNA (658 nucleotides) under uncultured eukaryote. RNAcentral's name for it is "SSU rRNA". It matches the Rfam family "Eukaryotic small subunit ribosomal RNA", at positions 444 to 1110 of the family's 1831-position model. The record is from RNAcentral.